CUGGGGUCUGUCUUUGCAGAGGUGCCAGGCCACAUGCCCUGCCCACCUCUACCAGCUAUGCCGCCUCUGAAGUUCCUCCAGCGGCACUGAGGAGGGGCCCUGUGGUCGAGGGUGCAGUUAAACGAGGCCCGACCGGGUAGUUGAGCUCAGCUUGGCUGUACUUGUCUUCCUUGGACCUGCUGGGCACCCCCAGAGAACUGCUCCGGUGAAAUGGGCCAUGGUCUCGGAGUCGUCUAUGCACCACCCCCCACGACCCAGCUGGUCAGAGCUGUGCCCCCGCCUCCCCGACCACACAGUCAGCCCAUCCACAGGCUCCGUCCAAGUCCUCCUGCCUAUCCAGCCCUGCACAAAGGAGCGGGGCAGGAGCAGGGUGUUCUUUGAUUCCACAGACCUCCAGCGACAUCUCCUCUGUGCCAGGACCUCAGCUGGCCACAGGGGAACCAAGUCAGCAUGCCCUAGCACUGCCUAUGGCUCUGCCAGCCUGGACACUGUCAUCCCACAUCCGGGUUUGCAUUCUGACUCGGCCACUCUCAAGGCCAUUUGGCCCCAGCAAAUGCCUGGACCUAGGCCCCAGGUGCAGAGAGAACAGGGCUACGGGAGGAGCAGAGGAAGUAAGGUGUUUCUCACUGCAAAGCCCUCAACAAAUCUUAGAUAAUAAGCAGGUGGCAAGGCUACAAAUGCUUGGGGCUCAGCGAGCAGUUCACUCUGGAAGGGGUGAAGAGCUUCACAAACCAUGAUGUGGAGAACAAGAGCCUGCAGCCCCUGGAGACCAGGACCUCGAGGUCUGC
This 788-nucleotide long non-coding RNA is filed under the name Homo sapiens (human). RNAcentral describes it as "non-protein coding lnc-GVQW3-4:1". Lineage: Eukaryota; Metazoa; Chordata; Mammalia; Primates; Hominidae. The record is from RNAcentral.